AUUAACUGACGCCGCUAAUAGAGUACAUUGUAAAGACAGGCGUGAUAAGAAAGCAAGUGACUACCCAACAACCAAAGGGGGUGUUACUGUGCAGGAUCUUCAUCUAGCAGAGAUUGAAAUUCUAAAGCACGAUCAGAAGAAAGCCUCUGAAGAUGAAAUUCAGAUCCUGAAAUCUAUCCAGAAGAACCAGAGUCUGCUUGAAAGAAAGAAAAGGCGUCAAAUCAAGAAAGAUAGUCAUCUAGAGCUUGACUACGAUUCAUUCAUUCAAGCACUUCGUCGUUUCACAGCUCUUCAAGCCAAGAGUGCAGCAUCUCAUAAAGUUCUGGGGUUCUGGAAUCGCUGGAAGAAGGAAUUUCUUCAGAACCUGCAAGUCCGACAGAAGUGGACUCACCCACAACGUGAAGCUGAAGUCGGCGACAUUGUCAUUGUGAAGGACGUGAAUGCACCCAGAAACCAGUGGCCACUAGCACGUGUUAUCAGAGUCUUUCCAUCUGAAGAUGGACACAUUCGCAAAGUGAAACUCGUUGUGGGGGACUCCAGAGUAUGUAAUAGCGGUAAGCGUAAGAACCCUCUUCAAGAAUUGGAGCGUCCUAUCCACAAACUGGUGCUUCUGUUACCGCGUGAAGACCAAGAGGAAUUCCCGGCCAAGGAACCCGACAUUUGAUAAUUUCGCGGGGAAUCCAUUUAGUUAGGGUUAAACUUGUUAUUUAAGCAAGACCUUAAGAUUUCUAGUCAAGACUGGAAUUAUUGAAACAACAGGUCUGUGGAUAAGACUAAUUAAUUUACAUUAUCCCCAGAAACGUUUAUUUGAAACGGUCUAGAACGAAGGCUGUUUGCUUCUUCAGGGUCUGCACGUGAGACUAUACAAAUUCAUUUAUUACAGACUCUGCUGCCUGAAUUGAGACUAAUUGAACUGUGAAAUUUGCAAUUGGACAAAUUUUCCAUAAAGACAUAAAACUUUCAUUGUAAACUGCAAUGCAUUUAAAUGUAUGCAUGUGUUGUUAUGUAUUUGUCUAAUAACCAUUUAUUUCUUCACAGGUCAGUUCUAGUAAUCUCUGAAUCGAUUUAUCAUGCUAAUCCACUGAAAUGUCCAUGUUUAUGUGAUUAAGUGGCUAUCACAUUCCAAAAAGGGGAAUUUAUUUUUUUUAAUUUUUUUUUUUGGCUAAAAAUUGCUAAAUUCCAGAUAUUUGUUGGUAGUAUAGUGGUUAUAUUGCAUUUAUAGCAUUUUUCACCAUGAAGUGAUAUUUAUUUAAAUGUGAACAUUUCUACUUUGAAAACAUAAGCCAUGUUUUUUGUGUUUUCUCAUAGCUACUAAGAUUACCGGUAAAUGUGAAACUAGUAAAAUAACAUUUCUAGAUAAAGCAUGAAAACAGUGUUUAUCAGUAAUUGCAUUUGGACUCAUAUUGAGACGAAAAUCUGUUUAAAGAAUUUAGAGGUAUUUUGUUAAAUCCAGUAAGGUAAAUAGCACAGUAUAGGUUUGGUUCAAGCCAGAUACAUUUGUUAUAUAGCUGUUGAAGAAACCUUGUGUAUGGACUUAUUUAAUACAAGUCGAGUCAGUAAUGCUGAUAGAACGGGUAUUUCCCACGUAAAUGUGUUUUAAAGCUGAUACUAUUUGGGGAAUUUUUAUUUGAUGGUUUGAGAUAGUGCAUCAUGUGCCCUAUGUGAGUUUUGAAAUUUAAUCUCAAGACAGAGAUAUAAACAAAUAAUUUCAUAAAGAGUGCUGAACUACAUUCAGUAAAUAGGUUAAAAGGGAUAGGUAAUUCCUUGAUAAUGUCAAUCGAUUGUUUAGUAAAUUUUUAGAAUAAUUUAAAGGAGCCAUGUUUCAGUGAUCGAUGUGAAUUCAUUUUAUUAAGUCGAUCAAGUAGAUUGAUUAUAUUUAUGUUUAGCGCCAUCUGGAGGCUACUAAAUUCGUGUAAAGAAAUGACACCCUUUUUGGUUUCCAGUGGAUGAAAUCUAUUGAUAUUGGAGGCAUCCUUGUGUAAGAUGGAAGUUAGAUGCACUUAAGAAGGCAGAAUGAAGUUUUUACGGAGCAUUUGGAGCAACAAGAGAAUUGGAAUAAUAAAGAAAGACCAAUAAACAAAGUCAAA
This 2087-nucleotide long non-coding RNA is filed under the name Strongylocentrotus purpuratus (purple sea urchin). RNAcentral describes it as "uncharacterized LOC115919170". Lineage: Eukaryota; Metazoa; Echinodermata; Echinoidea; Camarodonta; Strongylocentrotidae. The record is from RNAcentral.